Molecule: ribosomal RNA, 471 nt
Filed under: uncultured bacterium
Lineage: Bacteria
Description: bacterial SSU rRNA
Rfam family: Bacterial small subunit ribosomal RNA
Source: RNAcentral
ACUCCUACGGGAGGCAGCAGUGAGGAAUAUUGGUCAAUGGAGGGAACUCUGAACCAGCCAUCCCGCGUGUAGGAAGACGGCCUUAUGGGUUGUAAACUACUUUUAUACAGGAAGAAACGUACCCUCGUGAGGGUGCCUGACGGUACUGUAGGAAUAAGCACCGGCUAACUCCGUGCCAGCAGCCGCGGUAAUACGGAGGGGUGCGAGCGUUAUCCGGAUUUAUUGGGGUUUAAAGGGGUCCGUAGGCGGAUUAAUAAGUCAGUGGUGAAAUCCCAUCGCUUAACGAUGGAACUGCCAUUGAUACUGUUAGUCUUGAAUGAGGGUGCAGUGGUUGGAAUGUGUAGUGUAGCGGUGAAAUGCAUAGAUAUUACACAGAACACCGAUUGCGAAGGCAGAUCACUAACCCUAAAUUGACGCUGAGGGACGAAAGCGUGGGGAGCGAACAGGAUUAGAUACCCUGGUAGCACAGAG